GGGAAACAUCAACAAUGUCAAAGUUUGUACUAUAAAAAUUCCUAAAAUCUUGGGCAUGUGGUACAUGCUUCUAAUUCCAGCGACUCAGGAGCCUGCCGCAGGAGGAUCUCAAGUUGAAAGCCAACCUCAGCAACUUUGUGAGAACCUUUCUCAAAAAAUAAAAAGGCCUCGGGUGUGAUUCAGGGUCAGGUAUACCCAGGUUCAAUUCCUGGUACAAAAUCCAAAAAAUCCUAAAGUUGACAAACCUUGGGUAAAGAUUAGUCAAUUAAACUAAUAGUAACACACCACCCAAAACAAAAACCAAAUUAAAAAAAAAAAAGAAGAAGAAGAAAUAGCAGCACAAAUUAAUAACACUGGAUUUGAAAAAAGAAAAUAAACAUAUAGGAUUAAAAAGAGAAUAUUAUGGAUAAUUUAUUAAUACAUUUGACACUUUAGGUGAAAUGUAAUAUUAGUAGAAAUCUACAAAUUGUUAUUACAAGAAAAAGGUGAAAAAUAUAUAUGAUCUCAUAAUCAUUAAAUAAAUUAAAACAGUAGUUUAAAAACUUGCCACAAAGAAAGCAUCAGGAGCAGAGUUUGCAUCUGAGUUGUAAACAUGAAAAAAUGGAAAAUUUCUAUCUUAUACAAGUUUCACAGUGUUGCAAACAAAAGCAUACUCUUCAACUAAUUUAUGUAAUACUGAUGUAACUGAUAUUGAAACAGAGUGGUGCCAAUACAAGAGAGGAAAGUUAUAUGCUAGUCUCAUUGGUGAUUAGAUGGAAAGUUCUUAAAAAAAAUGUUGCCAAGCUGAAUUCAGCCAUGUGUAGACAUUUAUAUAUAAAGACUAGGCUCAGUUUAUGUCAUUAAUGCAAGAUUGGGUUAUUGCAAACAUCAGUAAGGAUUAAAAGACUUGAAUAGCACUAUCAACCAACUUGACCUAAUUGACAACAUCACUUGGC
RNAcentral lists this long non-coding RNA (935 nucleotides) under Marmota monax (woodchuck). The record is from RNAcentral. Lineage: Eukaryota; Metazoa; Chordata; Mammalia; Rodentia; Sciuridae.